CUACUGUGCUACUAUCUCUGUCCCAUAAUAAUUUUAUUUUUCGUCUUAUCUGAAAUUUUUUUGCGAUUAAUAUUUUUAUUGUUACUAGAUGAUAAAAUAUGAAUAGUACUUUAUUUGUGACUAUUUUUAAAAGUUUUUAUAUAAAUUUUUUAAAUAAGAUAAAUGGUCAAACAUUAGACAUGAAAAAAC
This 189-nucleotide microRNA precursor is filed under the name Oryza brachyantha (malo sina). Its description in RNAcentral is "MIR812 microRNA precursor family". It matches the Rfam family "MIR812 microRNA precursor family". The record is from Rfam by way of RNAcentral. Lineage: Eukaryota; Viridiplantae; Streptophyta; Magnoliopsida; Poales; Poaceae.